CCAAAUCUUGUGGUCAUAUGUUGCACUGGCAGAAUCAAGAUUGCAUCACAAAUCCUGGUUAUUAGGAAGUCUGGGAAAUGUAGUAUUAGACUUCUUGCUCCUGCAACAAGUGUAUGUGUGUAGAGCAGAUCACAGGGGAAGGUAGAAACAAAUGCCCAAUAUAAAUAGGCAUUCAGCAGAAGAGGACACCGAUGCAGAGAAAAGGCAUCUGGCAUUCCCCCCUGCUUGCUCGUCUUUCUCCUGCCACCAUGUGAAGAAAGUCCUUGCUUCCCCAAUUUCCACCAUGAUUGUAAGUUUCCUGAGGCCUCUCCAGUCAUGUGGAACUGUGAGUCAAUUAAACUUCUUUCUUUUAUAAGUUAUCCACUCUUGGGUAUUUCUUUAUAGUGAUGUGAAAACGGACUGAUCCAUCAUUCUUCCCCUUUCCAACAGCACACAGUUUUGGAGAACUACC
This 451-nucleotide long non-coding RNA is filed under the name Homo sapiens (human). RNAcentral describes it as "HSALNT0108517". The record is from RNAcentral. Lineage: Eukaryota; Metazoa; Chordata; Mammalia; Primates; Hominidae.